AGCAGUCGCCGCGGUAAUACGUAGGGGGCAAGCGUUGUCCGGAAUUAUUGGGCGUAAAGCGCGCGCAGGCGGUUCUUUAAGUCUGGUGUAUAAGUGCGGGGCUCAACCCCGUGAGGCACUGGAAACUGGGGAACUUGAGUGCAGAAGAGGAGAGCGGAAUUCCACGUGUAGCGGUGAAAUGCGUAGAGAUGUGGAGGAACACCAGUGGCGAAGGUGGCUCUCUGGACUGUAACUGACGCUGAGGCGCGAAAGCGUGGGGAGCAAACAGGAUUAGAUACCCCAGUAGUCCCUGUCUCUUAUACA
This 303-nucleotide ribosomal RNA is filed under the name uncultured bacterium. Its description in RNAcentral is "partial 16S ribosomal RNA". It matches the Rfam family "Bacterial small subunit ribosomal RNA", at positions 507 to 808 of the family's 1533-position model. The record is from RNAcentral.